UACGUAGGGUGCGAGCGUUAAUCGGAAUUACUGGGCGUAAAGCGUGCGUAGGCGGUUCGCAAAGUCUGAUGUGAAAGCCCCGGGCUCAACCUGGGAACUGCAUUGGAAACUAACGGGCUCGAGUGUGGCAGAGGGGGGUGGAAUUCCACGUGUAGCAGUGAAAUGCGUAGAGAUGUGGAGGAACACCGAUGGCGAAGGCAGCCCCCUGGGCUAACACUGACGCUCAGGCACGAAAGCGUGGGGAGCAAACAGG
Molecule: ribosomal RNA, 253 nt
Filed under: uncultured bacterium
Lineage: Bacteria
Description: partial 16S ribosomal RNA
Rfam family: Bacterial small subunit ribosomal RNA
Source: RNAcentral